This 496-nucleotide ribosomal RNA is filed under the name uncultured bacterium. RNAcentral describes it as "partial 16S ribosomal RNA". It matches the Rfam family "Bacterial small subunit ribosomal RNA", at positions 28 to 506 of the family's 1533-position model. The record is from RNAcentral.
GAUGAACGCUGGCGGCGUGCCUAAUACAUGCAAGUCGAGCGAACGCACGAUAAGCUUGCUUCUCUGAUGUUAGCGGCGGACGGGUGAGUAACACGUGGAUAACCUACCUAUAAGACUGGGAUAACUUCGGGAAACCGGAGCUAAUACCGGAUAAUAUUUUGAACCGCAUGGUUCAAAAGUGAAAGACGGUCUUGCUGUCACUUAUAGAUGGACCCGCGCUGCAUUAGCUAGUUGGUAAGGUAACGGCUUACCAAGGCAACGAUGCAUAGCCGACCUGAUAGAGUGACAGGCACACCUGGACCUGGGCAACGGCCAAGACCCCAAGGGGAGGAAGAAGUAGGAAUACUUGCGCAAUGGGGGAAAGCCUGACGGAGCAAAGCCGGGUGAGUGAUGAAGGUUUUCGGUUCGUAAAACUCUGUUAUUAGGGAGAAAAAUAUGUGUAAGUAACUGUGCGCAUCUGGACGGUACCUAAGCAGAAAGACACGGCAAACUACGU